Molecule: ribosomal RNA, 384 nt
Filed under: uncultured bacterium
Lineage: Bacteria
Description: bacterial SSU rRNA
Rfam family: Bacterial small subunit ribosomal RNA
Source: RNAcentral
AUUGAACGCUGGCGGCAUGCCUUACACAUGCAAGUCGAACGGCAGCGCGGGGCAACCUGGCGGCGAGUGGCGAACGGGUGAGCAAUAUAUCGGAACAUACCCUAGAGUGGGGGAUAACGUAGCGAAAGUUACGCUAAUACCGCAUACGCACUAAGGUGGAAAGUGGGGGAUCUUCGGACCUCAUGCUCAUGGAGUGGCCGAUAUCUGAUUAGCUAGUUGGUGAGGUAAAGGCUCACCAAGGCGACGAUCAGUAGCUGGUUUGAGAGAACGACCAGCCACACUGGAACUGAGACACGGUCCAGACUCCUACGGGAGGCAGCAGUGGGGAAUUUUGGACAAUGGGGGCAACCCUGAUCCAGCAAUGCCGCGUGAGUGAAGAAGGCC